CCUACGGGAGGCAGCAGUGAGGAAUAUUGGUCAAUGGUCGGGCGACUGAACCAGCAAAGCCGCGUGAGGGAUGAAGGUACAGAGUAUCGUAAACCUCUUUUGUCAGGGAACAAAGGCGGGGACGUGUCCCCGGAUGAGUGUACCUGAAGAAAAAGCAUCGGUUAACUCCGUGCCAGCAGCCGCGGGAAUACGGAGGAUGCGAGCGUUAUCCGGAUUUAUGGGGUUUAAAGGGUGCGCAGGCGGUCUGUUAAGUCAGCGGUCAAAGCCCGGGGCUCAACCCCGGCCCGCCGUUGAAACUGGCAGUCUCGAGUUGGAGAGAAGUAUGCGGAAUGCGCGGUGUAGCGGUGAAAUGCAUAGAUAGCGCGCAGAACUCCGAUUGCGAAGGCAGCAUGCCGGCUCCACACUGACGCUGAGGCACGAAAGCGUGGGUAUCGAACAGGAUUAGAUACCCCAGUAGUC
Molecule: ribosomal RNA, 459 nt
Filed under: uncultured bacterium
Lineage: Bacteria
Description: partial 16S ribosomal RNA
Rfam family: Bacterial small subunit ribosomal RNA
Source: RNAcentral